AUGGAGCAGAAACAACAAACAUGUUACUUCAGCAAGAGGGAGAGUAAUGAUCCUGAUGAUACUCUUACCAUUUUGUUACCAAAAUGUUGCACUAGACCUGCGGAGGGGUUUAUCUGGUUCUUAUGGUCUGCUGCAUGCCUGGAGGUGUCUCUGGCACAGCUGUGCCUCUUGAGGCGACCUCCUCUACCGCGGUGGUUGUGUGCGGCAUCAGCUACAACCUCUCCGUGUCAUGGUGUGGUACUUGAAACCUUUAGUUUGGAGAUGCAAGAGGAUAUUCUGAUUGGAAUCUUGCUGAAAUGCUAUUUUUCCUUCAAGGAGACAUUGCUGCCAGAAUUGUACCAAAUUGGCAUCCGUUAUGCUGGCAUUGCACGCAUGGCGUUGGCCCUCUCCUUGAAGUUCAGUGCUGUACCAAUCGUCGUGCCAGUCUGGAACCGUGCGUGGGGGAGCCGUGUCUUGGCAUUUGUGUCACUUCCGAAGAUAAAGUUAGAGCUGUCGCUGUUCCGGCUUUUUUAUGGCAAUUCCUCUUCUGUCAAUAACUCAGGUCCUCAGCCCACCUGCAUAUCCACUCUGACCCCCUCACGCCUAACCUCCAUUGCUUUAUUGAGUUAUAGGAGGUUCAGUACCGAUGAGCUUUGCAUUCGUGGUUCAUAUUUCCAGAAGACAAGAUUUCUCACGAAACUUCUAACGGAAGAUCUGGCCGCGUCUCUCUGUCCGGCCCAAAAAGAUUGUCCUUUGGCGGCUCCUCUUGGUCGCCUCCCGUGCUUAAACGCACGGAUCCGCCUCCUGGAUGGUGCUCCUGCGCCUGGGCAUCAGCCACAAACUAAUCUGUCAGUCAUCUCUUCGUGGAUAACACUAAUUAGGGGGCGUGAAGUAGUUGCACACUAUAUUUCUUUCCUUACGAAGCUAUGCCACCAGCCUCUGAAAGGUGAUGCCAUAGUGGCACCGCCAACACUUACUUGGGUUACUUUUGUGGCAAAGCUAUGCCACCACCAGCAUGUCAAAGAUGAUGCCUGCCGGCACUUGGAUUAUGCGACUGUCCGUCGUUCCAUGUCAUGGAAUGGAUGGAUGAUGGUGAGCGACCACCAAUGGAUCUGGCCGAAUACAAUACGCCUUGCCGAUUUACCAUUAGACUUGAAAAAGAGACUGGAGUGGUGUUUGUAUGUAAGCAGAGGAUUAUUUGGCUGGCAGUUCUUUUCCUCCUUUGACAAUCAUGGAUGGAUGGGUCUUGUUCUUGUCCUCCUUUUUUAUGCGGGGUUUGUUCUUGUCCUCCUUGACAAACGAACAUGGAUGGAUGCUAGUUUUAGUGUCGAAACUGUCUUCGUCGCUCGCUUAUUAUGUGACAAGCAAGUUGAAGAUAAUCAAUCUGUAGAAGUAUAUCGCUCCCGCCUCCUCCUCUUCCUCCAUUACUCCCUCCAUCCUGUUCCAUCCAUUGGUGGCCGCCUCCUCACGCGGAUCACCCUCUCAUCCGACGUCUCUCCGCGUCCCUGCCCACUCUCUGCCUACACCAUCUUCUCAUCUCACACUAUAUAUGUCCAGCCCGCCUUUUUCUCUCGCGCCACACGGUUCUCCCCUUCUAUGUGUCGAUCGACUAAGCGCCAACCACCAACUCCUCCUUUCUCCUCGAGGCAGCACAAAACAAGUACAUCAAGCUGCCGGCUAGCCGAUGCGGUGUCCGGCAAUCACAUGAUGUUGAGAGAUGCUCCGUUGGAUGAUGGGCCAGCCGACAGGUGUUUGUUUCUGAAGAUUCAGACGAGCCAAUGCAAGCAAAGUUUUUCUAUCCCGGCACUCAUGCUUCUAGCCGAAACUACAUCUCGGCUUGUACUCCUAUUAGAAUGCGACCACGGGUGGGUCUUGUGCGUUUCCUCGGGUGGAAAUACUAAUGAUGUUGUGCGCGGGUGGGGCUUAGGAGACCGCUGCAGGGGAGGUGAUUUGGCCGCUCCGUAA
RNAcentral lists this ribosomal RNA (1944 nucleotides) under Triticum aestivum (bread wheat). Its description in RNAcentral is "partial small subunit ribosomal RNA". The record is from RNAcentral. Lineage: Eukaryota; Viridiplantae; Streptophyta; Magnoliopsida; Poales; Poaceae.